This 498-nucleotide ribosomal RNA is filed under the name uncultured bacterium. RNAcentral describes it as "bacterial SSU rRNA". It matches the Rfam family "Bacterial small subunit ribosomal RNA", at positions 66 to 543 of the family's 1533-position model. The record is from RNAcentral.
ACGCGAAAGCCCCGCAAGGGGCAAGUAGAGUGGCAAACGGGUGAGUAACACGUGGGUGACCUGCCUUCGAGUGGGGGAUAACGUCCCGAAAGGGACGCUAAUACCGCAUGACAUCCUGCCUUUGAAGAGGCGGAGAUCAAAGCUGGGGAUCGCAAGACCUAGCGCUUGAAGAGGGGCCCGCGUCCGAUUAGCUAGUUGGUGAGGUAAUGGCUCACCAAGGCAACGAUCGGUAGCCGGCCUGAGAGGGCGGACGGCCACACUGGGACUGAGACACGGCCCAGACUCCUACGGGAGGCAGCAGUGGGGAAUUGUUCGCAAUGGGCGCAAGCCUGACGACGCAACGCCGCGUGGAGGAUGAAGAUCUUCGGGUCGUAAACUCCUGUCGAAUGGGACGAACGGGUUGUGGGUGAACACCCUGCAACCGUGACGGUACCGUUAAAGGAAACCCCGGCUAACUCCGUGCCAGCAGCCGCGGUAAUACGGGGGGGGUAAGCGUUG